GGACCAGAAUCAGUUCCUCUGGCCAGUGAGUGACAGCAGUGCUUUUAUUUUGGCAGGUCAGCAUCAUUCCAGCCACCAGCACAAGGCAAAAACAUGUACACACAGAGCACCUCCUGCCCAGAGCACCCAUCAGACAUCCCACCUCACCUGCUGACACAAUCCUUCAGCACCCACCAAAAUCAAAUGCAGCUAAUUGGAAGGUGAUGACAGCCAGGAGACUGCUGGAUUUACAUGCUAAUUCCUCUAUUUUAGCGUCACACAGCCCAAGUACAGCAGGCUGAACACCUUCCUGAGAAAAACAGGAUUUCUGCAUGGAAGGAGGAUGAGUACUAAGACACACACGUGAAUUCUGCAGCAGAAGGUAAAGAAUACUUUUCAUUUCAUUUCCCACUCCCCUUUCUUCAGGCUUAACUCC
This 415-nucleotide long non-coding RNA is filed under the name Parus major (Great Tit). RNAcentral's name for it is "lncRNA (ENSPMJG00000009644.1)". Lineage: Eukaryota; Metazoa; Chordata; Aves; Passeriformes; Paridae. The record is from RNAcentral.